Long non-coding RNA from Cercocebus atys (sooty mangabey), 1285 nucleotides. RefSeq lists it as uncharacterized. Lineage: Eukaryota; Metazoa; Chordata; Mammalia; Primates; Cercopithecidae. The record is from RefSeq and is a predicted model, not a curated record. The transcript has 4 exons.
UCAUUUAUAAAUCUCUGGAUAUUAUAGCUUCAUGUAGCAAAAAAUAUAAUCUCUUAAGCAGGAGCAGCUGCAUAAACUAAUAAGGAGAGAGGCACGAUUAAAUUUUUUUCUAAGCAAGACAAAGGAAAGCUCCAAGUUUCCUGGCGUAGUUUUGGAAGUGCAAUAGUUGGUUUGUUUGAAGACUGAAUUAAUUUUGCAGGCACACAUUUCUAUUUUCAGGCUGUGAAGUUUGGGGGAGGUCUUGACGGUGGUGGCAGUGGUGGGAUCCAUGCAUGGCAUCUGGAAGAAGGAGAGAAAGGAAGAGAAAGAGGCAAGGAGGGAGGAGGAAAAUGAGGCCUUGAAAUAUCAUACACAGUUCCUUCGAUGGAAGGAGGAGCGAGAUGAGGAAAGGAACUGAAGCACAGAGAAAGAAGUUACACAGGAAAUUGCAGACCUGAAAUUUAUAUCCAGCUCUCACUAGCUCUGAAGGUUGCGAGAAGAUUUCACAGUGAUCUCUCCGACUGCGUGGAGGAGAAGGUCUCAGGGGAAGAGGAGAACCAGUCAUUGGUGUGGCCUAAGUCGAAGGAGGAACUGUGAUCCAGUCAACAUAACAUCAUCAAUGCAAUUGACCAGAAUAAUGUUCUGCAGCAUGAAAAAUGUGAUCAACAUCCUAUACACUAGGGCUGGAGAGUUGAUAUAUCCCUGCAAUAGGACGGUGAAGGAAAAUUGCUGGCCUUCUCAGCUGAAAGCAAAUUACUUUUGAUGAUGUCUACUAACAGUAGAGAAACAAAGAGUAUUCGCCAGACCAAUAGCAGCAUGUCAGGUGCUAAGGGAUGUGUUGAAACUAUGUUUGGAAUAUGCAAUUGAAACUAUGUUUGGCAUAACAGCAAUUGUGUCACCAUCUGAUUAAAUUUCUGAUAAUUGGAGUCACCAUCUGAUUAAAUUUCUGAUUAUUCACUGCCAUUCUGUUUACUGCACAGGUCAAAUCAGUGAGUCAAAUGGGGAUUGGUAAGAAUCAUGACCUCUGAUCUUUCAGGGGUCCUAUGGUGGCACUAAUCUCUACAGUCCCUCCAGGAAUGAGACAUUGCUUUUGGUUUGCUUAAAUUCUUAUGGGUAGAAUCUGUUUAUUGGCUUUUACUUGGAUUUUUCUAUUAUAAUAACCUGAGCAUACAAAUCAAAAUGACUGCUACUUCACUUUCACCCUCCAAAUCUCAUGUAAAACAUCUCUUGAGGCCCACCUGAACCAGAAAGGAAUUCUGGGAAGCAUGGCUCAGCCUAGCCAAGUUGAUAUUUCAAACCGUUUCAA